GACGAACGCUGGCGGCGUGCUUAACACAUGCAAGUCGAACGGAGUGGCCAGCGGGUGAGUAACACGUGGGUGACCUGCUCUGCACUUCGGGGUAAGACCGGGAAACUGGGGCUAAUACCGGAUAGUGUGGGAUGGGCUCGCGGCCUAUCAGCUUGGGGGGGGGGUAAUGGACUACCGAGGCGGCGACGGGUAGCCGGCCUGAGAGGGUGGACGGCCACAUGAGUACUGAGAGACGGACCAGUCUCCUACGGGGGGCAGCGGUUGGGAGUAUUGCGCAAUGGGCGGAAGCCUGAUGCGGCGGCGCCGCGUGGGGAAUGACGGCCUUCGGGUUGUAAACUCCUUUCGCCAUCUACGCGGUAGAUGGAGAAGAAGCACCGGCUAACUACGUGCCAGCAGCCGCGGUAAUUC
RNAcentral lists this ribosomal RNA (408 nucleotides) under uncultured bacterium. Its description in RNAcentral is "partial 16S ribosomal RNA". It matches the Rfam family "Bacterial small subunit ribosomal RNA", at positions 28 to 526 of the family's 1533-position model. The record is from RNAcentral.